Molecule: ribosomal RNA, 508 nt
Filed under: uncultured euryarchaeote
Lineage: Archaea; Methanobacteriati; Methanobacteriota
Description: bacterial SSU rRNA
Rfam family: Archaeal small subunit ribosomal RNA
Source: RNAcentral
CGACGGGGGAACCCCAAGUGCCAUUCUUAACGGGAUGGCUUUUCUUGAGUGUAAAAAGCUCUUGGAAUAAGAGCUGGGCAAGACCGGUGCCAGCCGCCGCGGUAACACCGGCAGCUCUAGUGGUAGCCAUUUUUAUUGGGCCUAAAGCGUUCGUAGCCGGUUUAAUAAGUCUCUGGUGAAAUCCCGCAGCUUAACUGUGGGAAUUGCUGGAGAUACUAUUAGACUUGAGGUCGGGAGAGGUUAGAGGUACUCCCAGGGUAGGGGUGAAAUCCUGUAAUCCUGGGAGGACCACCUGUGGCGAAGGCGUCUAACUGGAACGAACCUGACGGUGAGGGACGAAAGCUAGGGGCGCGAACCGGAUUAGAUACCCUGGUAGUCCUAGCCGUAAACGAUGCGGACUUGGUGUUAGGAUGGCUUCGAGCCGCCCUAGUGCCGAAGGGAAGCUGUUAAGUCCGUCGCCUGGGAAGUACGGUCGCAAGACUGAAACUUAAAGGAAUUGGCGGGGGAG